GGAUGCAUAUACCAGCACUAAUGCCGGAUCCAUCAGAACUCCGAAGUUAGCGUGCUUGGGCGAGAGUAGUACUAGAUGGUGACCCCCUCGGGAAUCCUCGUGUUGCAUCCC
This 111-nucleotide ribosomal RNA is filed under the name Ipomoea nil (Japanese morning glory). The record is from RNAcentral. Lineage: Eukaryota; Viridiplantae; Streptophyta; Magnoliopsida; Solanales; Convolvulaceae.